RNAcentral lists this ribosomal RNA (253 nucleotides) under uncultured bacterium. Its description in RNAcentral is "partial 16S ribosomal RNA". It matches the Rfam family "Bacterial small subunit ribosomal RNA", at positions 524 to 776 of the family's 1533-position model. The record is from RNAcentral.
UACGGAGGGGGCUAGCGUUGUUCGGAAUUACUGGGCGUAAAGCGCACGUAGGCGGCUUUGUAAGUUAGAGGUGAAAGCCCGGAGCUCAACUCCGGAAUUGCCUUUAAGACUGCAUCGCUUGAAUCAUGGAGAGGUGAGUGGAAUUCCGAGUGUAGAGGUGAAAUUCGUAGACAUUCGGAAGAACACCAGUGGCGAAGGCGACUCACUGGACAUGUAUUGACGCUGAGGUGCGAAAGCGUGGGGAGCAAACAGG